Molecule: ribosomal RNA, 253 nt
Filed under: uncultured bacterium
Lineage: Bacteria
Description: partial 16S ribosomal RNA
Rfam family: Bacterial small subunit ribosomal RNA
Source: RNAcentral
UACGGAGGGUGCAAGCGUUAUCCGGAUUCACUGGGUUUAAAGGGUGCGUAGGCGGGGAAGUAAGUCCGUGGUGAAAUCUCUGAGCUUAACUCAGAAACUGCCGUGGAUACUAUUUGCCUUGAAUAUUGUGGAGGUGAGCGGAAUAUGUCAUGUAGCGGUGAAAUGCUUAGAUAUGACAUAGAACACCAAUUGCGAAGGCAGCUCACUACACAAUCAUUGACGCUGAGGCACGAAAGCGUGGGGAUCAAACAGG